Molecule: ribosomal RNA, 458 nt
Filed under: uncultured Thalassiosira
Lineage: Eukaryota; Bacillariophyta; Thalassiosirophyceae; Thalassiosirales; Thalassiosiraceae
Description: bacterial SSU rRNA
Rfam family: Bacterial small subunit ribosomal RNA
Source: RNAcentral
UCUAGUGGCGGACGGGUGAGUAACACGUGAGAAUUUGCCUUUAGGAGGGGGAUAACAAUUGGAAACGAAUGCUAAUACCCCAUAUGCUUCCGAGUGAAAUGGAUUUAUAUUUAUCCGCCUAAAGAGAAGCUCGCGGCUGAUUAGCUUGUUGGUAAGGUAAGAGCUUACCAAGGCGACGAUCAGUAUCUGGUUUGAGAGGACGAUCAGACACACUGGAACUGAGACACGGUCCAGACUCCUACGGGAGGCAGCAGUGGGGAAUUUUCCGCAAUGGGCGAAAGCCUGACGGAGCAAUACCGCGUGAGGGAAGACUGCCUAUGGGUUGUAAACCUCUUUUUUCAGGGAGGAAUCAAUGACGUGUACCUGAAGAAUAAGCAUCGGCUAACUCCGUGCCAGCAGCCGCGGUAAGACGGAGGAUGCAAGUGUUAUCCGGAAUCACUGGGCGUAAAGCGUCUGUA